This is a long non-coding RNA of Perca flavescens (yellow perch), 583 nucleotides long. RefSeq lists it as uncharacterized. The record is from RefSeq and is a predicted model, not a curated record. The transcript is spliced from 3 exons. NCBI's taxonomy places the organism in Eukaryota, Metazoa, Chordata, Actinopteri, Perciformes, Percidae.
UUGACGACGUCAGUAGAGACCCUCACACAUCUUCUAGAACUUGGGCUGCCAUCAAAAUGCAUCGCUAGACUCCUUGGUGUGUCGAGAGCUACACUUUUUAGGCGGAUGGCUGAAAAUAAUCUAUCUAUAUCUGCCUCAUACAGUGGCUGCAGUGACGAUGAAUUGGACUCAUUGAUCACAGGAAUUAAGAGCACAAUGCCAGAUGCUGGGUGCAGAGUAGUCAAAGGUGCUCUACUUGCACAGGGACACAGAGUGCAAUGGGACAGAGUGUAUGCAUCCAUGCAUCGCGUGGACAGUGUAGGUGUACUUCCAGGAUGACUCGUCUGAGAUGUGUGGUGAGGAGGACAUACACAGUUCCUUACCCAAAGUACAUGGUGCACAUUGACACCAAUCACAAGCUCAUCAGAUGAUGUACCUCAAGGUAGCAGACAACAACCGAUCUGAUACACACCUGAUUCAAUGAAGCUGUGAAUGAGCAUGGGUUUCCUCUGAGAGUGAGAGGAGAUCACAGAGGAGAAAAUAUGGGGAUAGCGGAAUUAAUGUUCUCAGUUUGUGGAACUGACAUUAACAGCUUCAUAGCGGG